RNAcentral lists this long non-coding RNA (1527 nucleotides) under Felis catus (domestic cat). RNAcentral's name for it is "lncRNA (ENSFCAG00000053761.1)". Lineage: Eukaryota; Metazoa; Chordata; Mammalia; Carnivora; Felidae. The record is from RNAcentral.
AUGCACCACCUUAGAAAAGACCACGGCCUCCAGCCGUACCCCGACGGGGGACCUGACCUCCGAGCCUCGAUCCUAACCUGUACAAUGAGGAAGGAUGGAGUGUGUGUGAGGUUCCUGGAACAGAGUGGUGCUGGUGGUCACCGAAACAAGCAUUCUAAGAGCGGAAUGGUGGAGAAGGAGGAUUUUAGAAUCAGAUCUCGUCGCUGCUCGACCACUGUCUUGCUGUGUGGCCCAUGUAAGGCAUAUGGCACUCUGCUUCGCACACAGCGGAAGAUCGCCAUCCAGCUCGGGGACAAAUGCACCGGAGACAAGUCAGAAGCAAAGGCAGUGCCCAGGGAAGUGGCAGAAUGAGGCACGAAUACAGGAGCCCAGGAAGGGAGAGACGGGCCACCUGGGGAGGCUGAGGACUUUGUCACAGAGGAGGUGGGGCUUGGGCGGGAGCCAGCAGGAUGGGCAGGAGGUAAGCAGACCUUACUGCCUGACAUUGUUACUUAAUUGUUACCCACACUCGUCUUAUCUCCCAGCCAGAUUGCACAGUCUCAGGGGAGAGUGACCUUUCCCUCCAUAACCGGCACAGAGCCGUGCAUACAGUAAGUGACUAAUAAUCUCCCCUGGAAUGAGGUUGUCAAGAGGUUAAUCUGCAAGGAUUGAAAUUGCUAAUGUUGGUAAUGGGACCUCUCUUUAAAAACCUUAAAAAAAUGUGUUAAUUGUCCUGUAAACCUUUCGCUAUCAUCAUGAUAAAGCCGGAGAUUUGUUUCCAGUGCUUAUCUUAAACGAUUGUGUUGUGCUCUGAUGUUGGCGGUGUUCUUAACCUCCACAUGAGCAUUUUUUUAGAAAACAGCUUUUGUCUCCAUCUCAAGAGCCACUUUUAGGGAGGGGGAGGCUGAUUUGCUAGGCACGUCCUAGAGAAACUGGCUGAGGAGUUGUUUUUUUUUAAAAAAAAUUUAAUAAUUAGAUGAGAUCAUUGAAUUUGGAAGCCUGAUAGCUGCGGGCAGUGGACCCUGGACACCAGAUGUAAGCGUGUUGAGACGUGUGUGUGUGUGUGGUGUCCAUUCAAGCAGAGUACGUGGCUGAUGGACUCCCUGUCCUGCCUACCUUGCUGGACUCAGGGAACAGAGGGGCGAUGGGGCGGGGAGCAAGGAAGGACCUGGGGAAGCUUGCAUGGGGAGAUCCGGGGUGUGUCUUCUUCCUCCGUUUUCACUUGAACUAGCCACUUCUGUUUCAUUAUCGCUAAGCACCUUGGUUUCAGUGUUUUCCAAAGAGGAAAUGGAAGCAAACCCAGCACCCAGAUACAGUGACCACAACACUCUCCCACACAUCUGCCCUCGCGUGGCCGGGGUGUUUGGCCGGUUCGUAAACACGCCAUGGUGAUGACCUAAUAAUAACAGAAGUGUCACGACCUGGCAGGCGGCAGGGGACAUGAAGACGUUUGGCCUGAAAUCCUCUGACGUGUCCAAGCCUCACACUCGGCUUCUGCUUUUCACCCAGUUCCCCAGCACCCAGCGGAACGGGACCCGGGAGGCGCUG